Molecule: ribosomal RNA, 393 nt
Filed under: uncultured bacterium
Lineage: Bacteria
Description: bacterial SSU rRNA
Rfam family: Bacterial small subunit ribosomal RNA
Source: RNAcentral
GACGAACGCUGGCGGCGUGCUUAACACAUGCAAGUCGAGCGGAAAGGCCCUCCGGGGUACUCGAGCGGCGACCGGGUGAGUAACACGUGAGUAACCUGCCCUUGGCUUUGGGAUAACCCUCGGAAACGGGGGCUAAUACCGGAUAUUCACUUUCCUUGGCAUCAGGGUUGGUGGAAAGUUUUUCGGCCAGGGAUGGGCUCGCGGCCUAUCAGCUUGUUGGUGGGGUAAUGGCCUACCAAGGCGACGACGGGUAGCCGGCCUGAGAGGGCGACCGGCCACACUGGGACUGAGACACGGCCCAGACUCCUACGGGAGGCAGCAGUGGGGAAUAUUGCACAAUGGGCGAAAGGCUGAUGCAGCGACGCCGCGUGAGGGAUGACGGCCUGGUUGUAA